CGACCUGAGCUCAGGCAAGACUACCCGCUGAACUUAAGCAUAUCCAUUGGUGUGCAAGGCAGUCGGAAAAGGACUGUCUAGUUCUCAAGGCAGGUUGCCUGCUUUGAGGGCGACACUGUCAAAUUGCCGGGACGUCUUGCUAAGGCACUGAUACCGUCGGCUAUGGGAAACUGUAGUUAGACACCGUAGGGAAACUUGCGGGUAUGGUAACAAUUCAGUGCAUAGAGAUAAUCGGCAGCCAAAUCCUAAGGGCUCUAACGAGCCUAUGGUAAAAGUUCACAGACUAAAUGGCAGUGGGUCUCGAGAGUUUACUCUUGAGGCUUAAGAUAUAGUCGGGUCCCACCGAGAGGUGGUCUGUUGGAGGAAUCCUUCGGGAGGAGAGCCAACAGAAGUAGGAAUAAUACUUUGUGGCGCAAGUCACAAAGGGGAUUACCCUCCCUUCCUACUGAAACAACCGAUCAAUAAGCGGAGGAAAAGAAACUAACAAGGAUUGCCCUAGUAACGGCGAGCGAACCGGCAAAAGCCCAACUUGAAAAUCUCCCUUUGGAGAAUUGUAGUCUAUAGAAGUACCCUCUGCAACGGGCGGAACCUAAGUCUCCUGGAAAGGAGCGUCAGAGAGGGUGAGAACCCCGUCGGUAUCCUGCCUUGUUGCCUCACGAGGUGCUUUCGAAGAGUCGGGUUGCUUGGGAAUGCAGCCCUAAUUUGGUGGUAAAUCCCAUCUAAGGCUAAAUAUUGGCGAGAGACCGAUAGCGAACAAGUACCGUGAGGGAAAGAUGAAAAGAACUUUGAAAAGAGAGUUAAAAAGUGCUUGAAAUUGUUGAGGGGGAAGCGUUUGAAUGCUCGGGUGCGCCUAGGCUUAUGUAGUCUUAACGGGCUGCUGUAUGUGCUAGGUGCUGGCCAGCAUGGGUUGGAUUGGCAGGAUAAAAGUUGGGAUUGUUACCCGGCCUAUACUGCCGAUCCGACCAAGGCGUGAAGACUGCCCUUGUCCUUCGGGAACUGCAGU
Molecule: ribosomal RNA, 1003 nt
Filed under: Parapediastrum biradiatum
Lineage: Eukaryota; Viridiplantae; Chlorophyta; Chlorophyceae; Sphaeropleales; Hydrodictyaceae
Description: eukaryotic LSU rRNA
Rfam family: Eukaryotic large subunit ribosomal RNA (bases 430-1003)
Source: RNAcentral